GACGAACGCUGGCGGCGUGCUUAACACAUGCAAGUCGAACGGAAAGGCCCUGCUUUUGUGGGGUGCUCGAGUGGCGAACGGGUGAGUAACACGUGAGUAACCUGCCCUGGACUUUGGGAUAACUUCAGGAAACUGGGGCUAAUACCGGAUAGGAGCUCCUGCUGCAUGGUGGGGGUUGGACAGUUUCGGCGGUUGGGGAUGGACUCGCGGCUUAUCAGCUUGUGGGUGGGGUAGUGGCUUACCAAGGCUUUGACGGGUAGCCGGCCUGAGAGGGUGACCGGCGACAUUGGGACUGAGAUACGGCCCAGACUCCUAUGGGAGGCAGCAGUGGGGAAUAUUGCACAAUGGGCGGAAGCCUGAUGCAGCAGCGCUGCGUGCGGGAUGACGGCCUUCGGGUUGUAAACCGCUUUCGCCUGUGACGAAGCGUGAGUGACGGUAAUGGGUAAAGAAGCACCGGCUAACUACGUG
RNAcentral lists this ribosomal RNA (468 nucleotides) under uncultured bacterium. RNAcentral's name for it is "partial 16S ribosomal RNA". It matches the Rfam family "Bacterial small subunit ribosomal RNA", at positions 28 to 507 of the family's 1533-position model. The record is from RNAcentral.